This 1676-nucleotide ribosomal RNA is filed under the name Myxobolus dibombensis. RNAcentral describes it as "SSU rRNA". It matches the Rfam family "Eukaryotic small subunit ribosomal RNA", at positions 199 to 1645 of the family's 1831-position model. The record is from RNAcentral. Lineage: Eukaryota; Metazoa; Cnidaria; Myxozoa; Bivalvulida; Myxobolidae.
CAAAGCAUUUAUUAGACUAAACCAUCUACUACGUUUAACGACAUACUAAGGGGAAUCUGGAUAACUUUGCUGAUCGUAUGGCCUUGUGCCGGCGACGUUUCAAUUGAGUUUCUGCCCUAUCAACUUGUUGGUAAGGUAUUGGCUUACCAAGGUUGCAACGGGUAACGGGGAAUCAGGGUUCGAUUCCGGAGAGGGAGCCUGAGAAACGGCUACCACAUCCAAGGAAGGCAACAGGCGCGAAAAUUACCCAAUCUAGACAGUAGGAGGUGGUAAAGAGAAUUACUAAAUGGUGGUCUUAUAGAUCACUCGCUUGGAAUGAACGUAACUUAAGAAAUUCGAUGAGAAACAACUGGAGGGCAAGUCCUGGUGCCAGCAGCCGCGGUAAUUCCAGCUCCAGUAGUUUGCUUUAAAGUUGUUGCGUUUAAAACGCUCGUAGUUGGAUCACGAAGUGAUGUUCAGUAACCUUUUGUGUGGGGUAGGCCGAAUGUGUCCGUCUCGAAACGGCCAGGAGGCAGCCUCAACAAUCGGCAGUUUAGCUGAACGUUACUAGUUGCACGUGAGAUAGUUUGUUGGCCUUAAUUGUGCCGGUAUUCUUGUCUUGCGGAGUGUGCCUUGAAUAAAACAGAGUGCUUAAAGCAGGUCUUAUCGCCUGAAUGUUAUAGCAUGGAACGAACAAUCGUGUAUAUGUGUGUGUUUACAGGCGGUAGCGAGCCUUUGGUUUGCUGUUGUUUGAGAUGCGCACGGCACCCACCAAAAUAUGGCUGUUGGUUCCAUAUACGGUGAUGAUUAACAGGAGCGGUUGGGGGCAUCAGUAUUUGGCCGCGAGAGGUGAAUUCUUAGACCGGCCAGGACUAACAAUGCAAGGCACUUGUCUAGACCGUUUCAUUAAUCAAGAACGAAAGUGGGAGGUUCGAAGACCAUCAGAUACCGUCCUAGUUCCCACCGUCAACUAUGCCGACACGGGAUCAGUUUAGAGAUGUUACAAGCUCUAACAUUGGUCCCCCUGGGACACGCUGAAGUUCAUUGUUUUCGGGGAAAGUAUGGUCGCAAGGGUGAAGCAUAAAGGAACAGACGGAAGCGCCACACCAUGGGUGGAGCAUGCGGCUUAAUUUGACUCAACACGGGGAAACUUACCUGGUCCGGACAUCGAUAGGAUUAACAGAUCAAUAGCUCUUUUAUGAUACGAUGAGUGGUGGUGCAUGGCCGUUGAUAGUUCGUGGAGUGAUCUGUCGGCCUAAUUGCGGUAGCGAACGAGACCACAUUCUCCAUUUGAGAGAUCGUAGUAGACGCUCAGUUUCGGAGGACAUGCGCAUUCGACGAUUGGGCGCCGUAGGAAGGGUGAUAAACUGUGUUGAUGAGUAUGUGAGGCUUAGCGAAGGGCGGUGUGUACAAAGGGCGCAUUCCCAAUUUUAACACUCUGAUCUGUUAUCCCAGGUGGCGGUCCCUUUUUGAGACCCCGCGAUAUAAACAAAAGCUCGAGGAAGAGUGGCCAUUUCAGGUCAGUGAUGCCCUUCCAUGUCCAACACUGCGCGCGCGCAACAAUGAUAACGACACCAAGUGUCUGCGUCGAAAGACAUCGGUAAUCUAUAAUCGUCAUCGUGAUGGGGAUUGACCGUUGUAACUGUCGGUCUCGAAAUAGGACUCCCUAGUAUGCAUAUAGUACUAGAAUUGCAGAU